Subdoligranulum variabile DSM 15176 is the source of this 99-nucleotide non-coding RNA. It matches the Rfam family "Bacterial small signal recognition particle RNA". Rfam says of the family: The signal recognition particle (SRP) is a universally conserved ribonucleoprotein involved in the co-translational targeting of proteins to membranes. Archaeal SRP consists of a 7S RNA and homologues of the eukaryotic SRP19 and SRP54 proteins. The record is from Rfam. NCBI's taxonomy places the organism in Bacteria, Bacillati, Bacillota, Clostridia, Eubacteriales, Oscillospiraceae.
AUGCGGGCCCCGUGCGUGGGCGGCCUGUGAACCAUGUCAGGCGGGGAACCGAGCAGCAUUAAGCGGCGCUCGUCCAGUGCUGCGGCAAGCCUGCAUCUG